This 413-nucleotide transfer-messenger RNA is filed under the name Methyloceanibacter sp. RNAcentral's name for it is "Alphaproteobacteria transfer-messenger RNA". It matches the Rfam family "Alphaproteobacteria transfer-messenger RNA". From Rfam's summary of the family: Bacterial tmRNA, also known as 10Sa RNA or SsrA, is named for its dual tRNA and mRNA-like properties. Its role is to liberate the mRNA from a stalled ribosome. To accomplish this part of the tmRNA is used as a reading frame that ends in a translation stop signal. The record is from Rfam by way of RNAcentral. Lineage: Bacteria; Pseudomonadati; Pseudomonadota; Alphaproteobacteria; Hyphomicrobiales; Hyphomicrobiaceae.
UAUCUUUUUUUUGCCGCCAUAGAGGCUUAUAUAGAUUCCUGUCGGCGCAAGCCGGCUAUGGCGAUAAAUAGCCUUCGUAAUAAACCAUUCGGACCCGGGGGCGGUACCCGGCGCCUCCACCACUCAGAAGCCUGAGGUCAGAAGCCAGAUCAAACGUUUAAGACAUAUCCGGUUCCUGGCUUGUGAUUUCCGGUUUUCUGAAAUGGGGGCGAAAUAGGAUCGACGAGGGUGUAAAGGUCGUGCUUUCGCCCGGCAUGGUUCCGCCGUUAUCGGGCCAACCAUAUAGUUGCCAAUGACAACUAUGCGGAGGCUAUCGCUGCGUAAGCGGCGCGACGCCUAAACCUCAAGUCCUAUCCUCUUCGCAGGGGCUAGGCGCGGUUUCGGAGGGCACCGGGCAACAGAAGCCCUCCACU